GACGAACGCUGGCGGCGUGCCUAAUACAUGCAAGUAGAACGCUGAAGCUUGGUGCUUGCACCGAGCGGAUGAGUUGCGAACGGGUGAGUAACGCGUAGGUAACCUUCCUGGUAGCGGGGGAUAACUAUUGGAAACGAUAGCUAAUACCGCAUAAGAGUAGAUGUUGCAUGACAUUUGCUUAAAAGGUGCAAUUGCAUCACUACCAGAUGGAUCCGCGUUGUAUUAGCUAGUUGGUGAGGUAACGGCUCACCAAGGCAACGAUACAUAGCCGACCUGAGAGGGAUCACGGCCACACUGGGACUGAGACACGGCCCACACUUCUGCGGGAGGCAGCAGUAGGGGAGCUUCGGCAAUGGAUGGAAGUCUGACCGAGCAACGCCGCGUGAGGGAAGAAGGGUUUCGGGUCGUUAAGAUCUGUUGUAAGGGAAGCACGAGUGGGGGAGUGGAAAGUUCACACUGUGACGGUAUCUUAACAGAAAAGGACGGCUAACUACGUG
This 497-nucleotide ribosomal RNA is filed under the name uncultured bacterium. RNAcentral's name for it is "partial 16S ribosomal RNA". It matches the Rfam family "Bacterial small subunit ribosomal RNA", at positions 28 to 507 of the family's 1533-position model. The record is from RNAcentral.